This 1768-nucleotide ribosomal RNA is filed under the name Caliciopsis pinea. RNAcentral describes it as "eukaryotic LSU rRNA". It matches the Rfam family "Eukaryotic large subunit ribosomal RNA", at positions 88 to 1403 of the family's 3401-position model. Lineage: Eukaryota; Fungi; Ascomycota; Eurotiomycetes; Coryneliales; Coryneliaceae. The record is from RNAcentral.
GGCGAGUGAAGCGGCAACAGCUCAAAUUUGAAAUCUGGCUCCUUUCGGGGUCCGAGUUGUAAUUUGUAGAGGAUGCUUUGGGCACGGCCACGGUCUAAGUUCUCUGGAACGAGACGUCAUAGAGGGUGAGAAUCCCGUCUGGGACCGCCGGCCACGCCCGUGUAAAGCUCCUUCGACGAGUCGAGUUGUUUGGGAAUGCAGCUCAAAAUGGGUGGUAAAUUUCAUCUAAAGCUAAAUAUUGGCCAGAGACCGAUAGCGCACAAGUAGAGUGAUCGAAAGAUGAAAAGCACUUUGAAAAGAGAGUUAAACAGCAUGUGAAAUUGUUGAAAGGGAAGCGCUUGCGACCAGACUCACCCGUGGCGGCUCACCCGGCGUUUUCGCCGGGGCACUCCACCGCGGUUGGGCCAGCAUCGGUUUGGGCGGUCGGUCAAAGGCCUCUGGAAUGUAUCAUCCCCCGGGAUGCCUUAUAGCCAGAGGUGCAAUGCGGCCUGCCUGGAUCGAGGAACGCGCUUCGGCACGGAUGCUGGCGUAAUGGUCGUAAGCGACCCGUCUUGAAACACGGACCAAGGAGUCAACCAACUAUGCGAGUGUUUGGGUGUCAAACCCCGGCGCGGAAUGAAAGUGAACGGAGGUGGGAACCCCUUGGGGUGCACCAUCGACCGAUCCUGAUGUCUUCGGAUGGAUUUGAGUAAGAGCAUAGCUGGUUGGACCCGAAAGAUGGUGAACUAUGCCUGAAUAGGGUGAAGCCAGAGGAAACUCUGGUGGAGGCUCGCAGCGGUUCUGACGUGCAAAUCGAUCGUCAAAUUUGGGUAUAGGGGCGAAAGACUAAUCGAACCAUUGACCGAUGCCCCCUCCAUCACGGCGGUGGGGGGGGGACUACCAGGUGGUUAAUAGGCCGCGCAACGGGCGAGCCUAGUCCUGCUCUCCAGGGCGACACUGUCAAAUUGCGGGGACCUCCUAAGGAGGCUGCUACCAAGCCGGCGCCGAAAGGCGUCGGUGGCCGGGGUAAUGACCUAGGGUACGGUAACAACGCAGCCGCUGAUCCCCCCUCCCGGGGGUGAAAUGGACGAUCCGCAGCCAAGUCCUACGGCCGUGAGGCUAGGGAUGCAGUUCACAGACUAAAUGGCAGUGGGUUCCGGGGGCCGCCCUCCUUCUGGGGGGGGCGGGCCUCGGGGCUUCAGAUAUAGUCGAGCCGCCCAGAGAUGGGUCCUGUAGGAGGAAGUCGACGCCGGGCGAGAGCGAUCCCCUCGGGGGCCGUCGGCGGCGACUGGAGCCUAUAGGGGGCGGGGUGACCCGCCCGGAGUUCCAGCUGGUAGCUGGUUCCUGCCGAAGUUUCCCUCAGGAUAGCAGUAACGUUUUCAGUUUUAUGAGGUAAAGCGAAUGAUUAGAGGCCUUGGGGUUGAAACAACCUUAACCUAUUCUCAAACUUUAAAUAUGUAAGAAGUCCUUGUUACUUAGUUGAACGUGGACAUUGGAAUGUAUCGUUACUAGUGGGCCAUUUUUGGUAAGCAGAACUGGCGAUGCGGGAUGAACCGAACGCGAGGUUAAGGUGCCGGAAUGUACGCUCAUCAGACACCACAAAAGGUGUUAGUUCAUCUAGACAGCCCGACGGUGGCCAUGGAAGUCGGAAUCCGCUAAGGAGUGUGUAACAACUCACGGGCCGAAUGAACUAGCCCUGAAAAUGGAUGGCGCUCAAGCGUACUACCCAUACCUCGCCGUCAGGGUAGAAAUGAUGCCCUGACGAGUAGGCAGGCGUGGAGGUCCGUGA